UUGGAAUUACAGCUGCAUUUCACCAGGCAAGGGGAAAAAAAAGAUAACUCUCACCAGAACUAACCUUUAUAAUUAAGGAAGAACUAAAAUAUGAACCAGCCAGAAAGAAGAGAUUUGGUUGACCAAGACAUGUCUUAGAGUUUGGUCAAGGGCCCUGCUCACAGAUUUCUACACUUGUACAAAUGCUGAAGAUGGAAAGGCCUUUCCUUAUUUAUUUGGAGACUUGAAAUAGAACUUUGCUUUCUUGCAGGAUGGUCUCCAGAGGGGAUAGUCUCAUGAGAUGGAGCAGUUGAUCACAUUUGAUGGUAACCAGCUUGACAACGCACCUUCAAAUGGACUCUCCACACUACCUUGCCUCGUUUGACUCUUCCCAGCUUCCUUGAGACUGAGCCCUGAGUAAAGCAAUUCAUGGUA
This is a long non-coding RNA of Cervus elaphus (red deer), 414 nucleotides long. RefSeq lists it as uncharacterized. Lineage: Eukaryota; Metazoa; Chordata; Mammalia; Artiodactyla; Cervidae. The transcript has 3 exons. The record is from RefSeq and is a predicted model, not a curated record.